CAGGACGAACGCUGGCGGCGUGCCUAACACAUGCAAGUCGAACGGGACUGAUUGGAAAGCGGCUUCGGCCAAUGGAAGAUCAGUUUAGUGGCGAACGGGUGAGUAACACGUGAGGAACCUGCCUUCCAGUGGGGGACAACAGUUGGAAACGACUGCUAAUACCGCAUAACAUUCACGGACCGCAUGAUCUGUGAAUCAAAGCUUUAUGUGCUGGAAGAUGGCCUCGCGUCUGAUUAGCUAGUUGGUGGGGUAACGGCUCACCAAGGCGACGAUCAGUAGCCGAACUGAGAGGUUAAUCGGCCACAUUGGGACUGAGACACGGCCCAGACUCCUACGGGAGGCAGCAGUGGGGAAUAUUGCGCAAUGGGGGAAACCCUGACGCAGCAACGCCGCGUGAAGGAUGAAGGCCUUCGGGUUGUAAACUUUUUGAUCGGGGACGAAUAAUGACGGUACCCGAAAAACAAGUCACGGCUAACUACGUG
Molecule: ribosomal RNA, 482 nt
Filed under: uncultured bacterium
Lineage: Bacteria
Description: bacterial SSU rRNA
Rfam family: Bacterial small subunit ribosomal RNA
Source: RNAcentral